Molecule: small nuclear RNA, 102 nt
Organism: Trichechus manatus latirostris (Florida manatee)
Lineage: Eukaryota; Metazoa; Chordata; Mammalia; Sirenia; Trichechidae
Source: RefSeq, a predicted model, not a curated record
GUGCUCGCUUCAGCAGCGCAUAUACUAUAAUUGGAACGAUUAGAUAGAUGGUUGCCCCUGUGCAAGGAUGACACGCAAAUUCGUAAAGUGUUCCAUUAUUUU